GCCCGAGCCAGACCAGCACAUAGAUAGAGAGCUGAGCUUCACCUACUCUCCGGUGGUGCCGAAGCAAGGGAGGUGCUGCCCGAAGUUUUUUUCCUCAUUUUCGUGGGAAUUUCACUCAGCCAACACAAGUGUUGUGAAGGUUUGCUACUUCAUCCUCGUGUUAUGCUUUGAUUUAUGCUUUGGAGAUGGAAAGAUUAAUUGCUAGAAUGUGAUGAAGUAGAAAAUCGAGAGGUAUUUUGAGCUAGAAUGUGAGGGAGAUUGAUGUGUCAUAUAUAGUAUGUAUUCUUGCAGUGGUUUAAGAAUGAUGCUACCUUGUCUAGACGGUUUAUCUUAUCAAAAUCAAUAAGGUUUUUCAAAUCCAUACUUGUUGAACUUGCAUACCGUGUUCAUCUUUGCGAGCAUGUUCUCCGCCGAGCAGCAACGUAUGUCAAGAAGGAGGUUUGAUUCUACGAGAAAGAGUGGAUAUGGACAUCGUGACUGUGUCCCCUUUUCCAUAGCAUCGAACCUCUUUCAUGAUGAAGUGCGAUGCUGCCCAGUUGAGAACAUGCUCGCGAGAUGAUCACGGUCUUCAAGUUCAACAACUUCUGCAGUGCUAAGGAAAGAAUUUUUGUACAUAGAUGGCUUCUACUACUUGUUGAACUUAUCAAAUUCAAUAUGGUUUUUCAAAUCCAUACUUGUUGAACUUGCAUACCGUGGUCAUCUCUGAGAGGAUGUUCUCCACCGAGCAGCAACGUAUGUCAAGAAGGAGGUUCGAUUCUACAAGAAAGAGUGGAUAUGGACAUCGUGACCGUGUCCCCUUUUCCGUAGAAUCGAACCUCUUUCAUGAAGAAGUGCGGUGCCGCCCAGUUGAGGACAUGCUCGCGAGAUGAUCACGGUCUUCAAGUUCAACAAAUGAGACACUAAGCAUGGUCAUUUUCAUCAAAUGAGUUGCUUUUGGAGCUGGGGAGAACGUAUUUUUAAUAUCAUGUAACUCGCUGAACUCGACCGGGCAUGUACCUCUGAAAACACCAUCUUGGAAGUACGCUAAAACUGCGUGGAAAGAUGAGUGUUCGGUCUACUUGCCAGGCAGGCUCAUACCUCAGAAAAUUCUGGUCGAAUAAAAUAUACAUUGAGGUUUAGAAACCUGAGGUUUCCUUGAAACCAUGUUGCUAGCAAACUACCAAAAGUAGGCCAAGCAAGAGAACAAAGAUGUCAAUUUCUCAGCGUUGGAGGGGAGUCCUUAUUUAAUAUAUUAAGGAAUAUCUGCCUUGUUUAUUCACUACUGUACAACAUUAUAAGCAAGUGGUUGCAACUUGGAACAUAUAUAGGUGGGGCCAUGUCGUAUGUCCUUCAUUCAAUCAGGGCCGCCACAUCAACGUCUUUACCUUGGGCACAAGUGGCAAAUGGAACAACAACUUGCACGCAUAUGAUGAAGAGUCCUACCCGCGUACUGCUUUAAUUUUUUAUUUUUGUUGAUGACAGGCUGGCUGAUGUUAUGGGUGCGUCUCAGUUCUGUAAAUAAAGGAGGAAACGUGGUUGCCUAUUUUAGCUCACCACGGAUGCAUGUUUAUAUAGGACCAACCGCUCAAGAUAUAUACAAGAUCUCGUCAUCGUACGUGACUCGGAUACUGUUUACAAAAGACUUAUCU
RNAcentral lists this long non-coding RNA (1628 nucleotides) under Setaria italica (foxtail millet). RNAcentral describes it as "long non-coding RNA (SITA_LNC006326)". Lineage: Eukaryota; Viridiplantae; Streptophyta; Magnoliopsida; Poales; Poaceae. The record is from RNAcentral.